AUACGUAGGGGGCGAGCGGUGUCCGGAAUGAUUGGGCGUAAAGGGCGCGUAGGCGGCCCGGUAAGUCUGGAGUGAAAGUCCUGUUUUUAAGAUGGGAAUUGCUUUGGAUACUGUCGGGCUUGAGUGCAGGAGAGGGAAGCGGAAUUCCCAGUGUAGCGGAGAAAUGCGUAGAGAUUGGGAGGAACACCAGUGGCGAAGGCGACUUACUGGACUGUAACUGACGCUGAGGUGCGAAAGUGUGGGGAGCAAACAGGAUUAGAUACCCUGGUAGUCCACACUGUAAACGAUGAAUGCUAGGUGUAGGGGGUAUCGACCCCUUCUGUGCCGCAGUCAACACAAUAAGCAUUCCGCCUGGGGAGUACGGCCGCAAGGUUGAAACUUAAAGGAAUUGACGGGG
This 397-nucleotide ribosomal RNA is filed under the name uncultured bacterium. RNAcentral describes it as "partial 16S ribosomal RNA". It matches the Rfam family "Bacterial small subunit ribosomal RNA", at positions 523 to 918 of the family's 1533-position model. The record is from RNAcentral.